GAAUUCUGAGUGACUGCUAAUUCAAUCUUUUUGGAGGACUGCAUAUAAAAAUAUAACUUGAGGUUUUUUCUUACCUUAAAUAUAUGGAUUCAUUUAUUGCCGGAAUUAAUUACACUUACAAGAAAGGCUUGAGCCACAGAGCAGGGUGAGGAUUUACAGUUCUGGAGUGUAAGUAUGAAUGGGAUUGAAGGAUUUACAUGGAGGACUCUGAACUCCUUCCCUUCCUGAGUCAGAAAGGAUAGGUAUGGCAGCAGUAUGACCUUGACAGCUGGCCUGUAAGCUCAUCAGUGGUCAGCAUUUCAAACCCAGCCUAUUUAAAUCCAUUGACUGUUAGAAAUUGAAGCAUCCAAGUCAAGCAAAGGAUAAAAAUAAAGGGGCCUGCUUUGAGACCUACUGAAGCUGUCUUGAAUGAUGUGACAAAUGGCAUGAUGAUGAUGAGGGCAUGAGAUGCAGCACAGCCAGGAGAGCCCCUGGCCCCUGAAUACUACCUUCAGAUGGAGGAGGGAAAAUAACAUCUACAGGCACAGUAAGGAGGACCUGUUUCUUUGUUGUGAACAUUGCUGAGUUUAACUGGCAAAAGAUAUUCUCUAUGUCUGAAUCAGCAUGUGUCUGCAGCCUUGUGCACAAAACCUACUAGAGUCCCAGUGAGGGGAAAAACAACUUGUAAGGAACUAGUUAGUGCCCAAAGCACAAGUCCUCAGUAUUGGCUUCUGCAGAAAGUCCAAGGCUGCAAUUCCACGUGACUCCAAAAGGUAAUGUCUUCACUUUGCUACAAGAUGCAGAUGGAUCACUCUUUGCCAGCUUUCAAGGCAAAUAUUGCCAUAUAGUCCUUGCCCUCAGCAACAUCCUCAGUGUCCUGGUGAUGGGUGCUUUGAAAGGAUUGGGCAGAACAGACAUCAUGCUGCCUCUGCACAUCAGGCUGUCUGUUCUGUUGCAUUUUUGGAGGGGGACCAAAAGGAAUGGAAGAGCAGCAUCAGUCUCUGAAUAGCAAAUCUUAUUUUCUCCAUGCAAUAGUUCUUCAAGAAUGAAACAGUAGCGGGACUUGCAGCUUUGUGCCACUGUGAGAUGAACUGCAUUUUGCAUCAUUGUCUUCACCUUCACAUCUGGGGUUGAUGUCUUCACCUCGCCUCUGUAACUAGCCCUGAGGCACAUGUUGUCUCAUAUCCACACGCCUUCUGUCAUGUUUCAUUAUUGAAUUAAUAAAAACCAUGUUCAGAAAAUGGGA
Cygnus atratus (black swan) is the source of this 1225-nucleotide long non-coding RNA. RefSeq lists it as uncharacterized. The record is from RefSeq and is a predicted model, not a curated record. Lineage: Eukaryota; Metazoa; Chordata; Aves; Anseriformes; Anatidae. The transcript is spliced from 10 exons.